RNAcentral lists this transfer RNA (72 nucleotides) under Coemansia sp. RSA 1085. RNAcentral describes it as "tRNA-Trp". It matches the Rfam family "tRNA". From Rfam's summary of the family: Transfer RNA (tRNA) molecules are approximately 80 nucleotides in length. Their secondary structure includes four short double-helical elements and three loops (D, anti-codon, and T loops). Further hydrogen bonds mediate the characteristic L-shaped molecular structure. tRNAs have two regions of fundamental functional importance: the anti-codon, which is responsible for specific mRNA codon recognition, and the 3' end, to which the tRNAs corresponding amino acid is attached (by aminoacyl-tRNA synthetases). tRNAs cope with the degeneracy of the genetic code in two manners: having more than one tRNA (with a specific anti-codon) for a particular amino acid; and 'wobble' base-pairing, i.e. permitting non-standard base-pairing at the 3rd anti-codon position. RNAcentral also lists the same sequence under 2 other names. Lineage: Eukaryota; Fungi; Kickxellomycota; Kickxellomycetes; Kickxellales; Kickxellaceae. The record is from RNAcentral.
AGGGAAAUAAUUUAAUUGGUAAAAUACUAGUCUCCAAAAUUAGUUUUAAAGGUUCAAAUCCUUUUUUCCUUG